Molecule: ribosomal RNA, 497 nt
Filed under: uncultured bacterium
Lineage: Bacteria
Description: partial 16S ribosomal RNA
Rfam family: Bacterial small subunit ribosomal RNA
Source: RNAcentral
GAUGAACGCUGGCGGCGUGCCUAAUACAUGCAGGUCGAGCGAACAGACGAGGAGCCUGCUCCUUCGACGUUAGCGGCGGACGGGUGAGUAACACGUAGGUAACCUACCUAUAAGACUGGGAUAACUUCGGGAAACCGGAGCUAAUACCGGAUAAUAUUUCGAACCGCAUGGUUCGAUAGUGAAAGAUGGCUUUGCUAUCACUUAUAGAUGGACCUGCGCCGUAUUAGCUAGUUGGUAAGGUAACGGCUUACCAAGGCAACGAUACGUAGCCGACCUGAGAGGGUGAUCGGCCACACUGGAACUGAGACACGGUCCAGACUCCUAAGGGAGGCAGCAGUAGGGAAUCUUCCGCAAUGGGCGAAAGCCUGACGGAGCAACGCCGCGUGAGUGAUGAAGGUCUUCGGAUCGUAAAACUCUGUUAUUAGGGAAGAACAAACGUGUAAGUAACUGUGCACGUCUUGACGGUACCUAAUCAGAAAGCCACGGCUAACUACGUG